GAUGAAGAACGUAGCAAAAUGCGAUAAGUAAUGUGAAUUGCAGAAUUCAGCGAAUCAUCGAAUCUUUGAACGCACAUUGCGCCCGCCAGUAUUCUGGCGGGCAUGCCUGUUCGAGCGUCAUUUCAACCCUCAAGCACAGCUUGGUGUUGGGACUCGCGUUAAUUCGCGUUCCCCAAAUUGAUUGGCGGUCACGUCGAGCUUCCAUAGCGUAGUAGUAAAACCCUCGUUACUGGUAAUCGUCGCGGCCACGCCGUUAAACCCCAACUUCUGAAUGUUGACCUCGGAUCAGGUAGGAAUACCCGCUGAACUUAAGCAUAUCAAUAAGCGGAGGA
RNAcentral lists this unclassified non-coding RNA (332 nucleotides) under soil metagenome. Its description in RNAcentral is "partial contains 5.8S ribosomal RNA, internal transcribed spacer 2, and large subunit ribosomal RNA". The stretch from base 1 to 120 matches the Rfam family "5.8S ribosomal RNA", at positions 35 to 154 of the family's 154-position model. The record is from RNAcentral.